AGCAGUGUGGCUCAGUGGAAAGAGCCCGGGCUUGGGAGUCAGAGGUCCUGGGUUCGAAUCCCGGCUCUGCCG
Non-coding RNA from Ornithorhynchus anatinus (platypus), 72 nucleotides. The record is from Rfam. Lineage: Eukaryota; Metazoa; Chordata; Mammalia; Monotremata; Ornithorhynchidae.